AGAGUUUGAUCAUGGCUCAGAAUGAACGUUGGCGGCGUGGAUUAGGCAUGCGAGUCGCGCGAGAAUGUAGCAAUACAGGACAGCGGCGAAAGGGAGAGGACAACACGGGAAUCUGCCUUGGGGACGAGGAUAGCGUCGGGAAACUGACAGUAAUACUCGAUAAUGUUUGCGGACCAAAGGUGUGAUUCCGCCCCAAGAUGAGCCCGUGCCCCAUUAGCUAGUUGGCAGGGUAAUGGCCUACCAAGGCUGUGAUGGGUAGCUGGUGUGAGAGCACGACCAGCCUCACUGGCACUGAGACACUGGCCAGACACCUACGGGUGGCUGCAGUCGAGAAUCUUCGGCAAUGGACGCAAGUCUGACCGAGCGACGCCGCGUGCGGGAUGAAGGCCUUCGGGUUGUAAACCGCUGUCGUAGGGAAUCAAGUGUAUGAGGGUACUCCCUUGUAUUUGAGAGAUCCUAGGAGGAAGGAGAGGCUAAGCUCGUGCCAGCAGCCGCGGUAAGACGAGCUCUCCAAACGUUAUUCGGUAUUACUGGGCUUAAAGAGUUCGUAGGCGGCUCUGUAGGUGAGAUGUGAAAGCCCUCGGCUUAACCGAGGAACUGCGUUUCAAACCACAGGGCUUGAGGGAGAUAGGGGUAAGCGGAACAGAUGGUGGAGCGGUGAAAUGCAUUGAUAUCAUCUGGAACACCGGUGGCGAAGGCGGCUUACUGGGUCUUUUCUGACGCUGAGGAACGAAAGCUAGGGUAGCGAACGGGAUUAGAUACCCCGGUAGUCCUAGCCGUAAACGAUGAGCACUAGUCUGAGGGACUCUCACAGUUUCUCGGACGUAGCGAAAGUGUUAAGUGCUCCGCCUGGGGAGUAUGGUCGCAAGGCUGAAACUCAAAUGAAUUGACGG
Molecule: ribosomal RNA, 893 nt
Filed under: uncultured bacterium
Lineage: Bacteria
Description: bacterial SSU rRNA
Rfam family: Bacterial small subunit ribosomal RNA
Source: RNAcentral